RNAcentral lists this non-coding RNA (26 nucleotides) under Homo sapiens (human). The record is from RNAcentral. Lineage: Eukaryota; Metazoa; Chordata; Mammalia; Primates; Hominidae.
UGCACAACGACCGGGUGUACUAUGUG